UAUCCGGAAUUAUUGGGCGUAAAGGGCUCGUAGGCGGUUCGUCGCGUCCGGUGUGAAAGUCCAUCGCUUAACGGUGGAUCCGCGCCGGGUACGGGCGGGCUUGAGUGCGGUAGGGGAGACUGGAAUUCCCGGUGUAACGGUGGAAUGUGUAGAUAUCGGGAAGAACACCAAUGGCGAAGGCAGGUCUCUGGGCCGUCACUGACGCUGAGGAGCGAAAGCGUGGGGAGCGAACAGGAUUAGAUACCCUGGUAGUCCACGCCGUAAACGGUGGAUGCUGGAUGUGGGGACCAUUCCACGGUCUCCGUGUCGGAGCCAACGCGUUAAGCAUCCCGCCUGGGGAGUACGGCCGCAAGGCUAAAACUCGAAGAAAUUGACGGGGGCCCGCACAAGCGGCGGAUCAUGCGGAUUAGUUCGAUGCACCGCGAAGAACCUUACCUGGGCUUGACAUGUUCGCGACUGCCCCAGA
Molecule: ribosomal RNA, 466 nt
Filed under: uncultured bacterium
Lineage: Bacteria
Description: bacterial SSU rRNA
Rfam family: Bacterial small subunit ribosomal RNA
Source: RNAcentral